This is a non-coding RNA of Taeniopygia guttata (zebra finch), 2060 nucleotides long. The record is from RefSeq and is a predicted model, not a curated record. NCBI's taxonomy places the organism in Eukaryota, Metazoa, Chordata, Aves, Passeriformes, Estrildidae.
ACUGCAGUGGCAUGAGGGACAUCGUGUGUCGUGGCUCUGCCAGGGGGACCUGCAGGGCUGUGCUCAGCUUGGCCACAGCAGCUUUGGGUCUCGCUCAUUAAUCACUACUUUGCUUUGGUAACUAAACUUCUGCUGCUUUGUGACGUCAAGCAGCAUUUCUCAUUUCCCAGCCUCACAGAGUUGAUGGGAAUUUAAAAGCUAUAUGCAAAUGAACUUGAUUAGCAUGCUUAAUUAUCUUAUAAACUCAUACCCAUCUGUCCUGCAUAUGCUUUGUACUUGACACUCGAUGGCAAAGUGACCGUGUUGGGCUUGGCACAAGGUGCCUGAGCGAGGGAACCUUUGGGAAGAGCCCGGCUCUGCCUGCAGAGGGGCUGUGGUAGUGCCAGGGGCACACUGGAGGUGAAAUGUCUUUUUUCAAAGGCUGUGUCCAAGCUGGGAGAUGGGAAAUGAUGUGUAGAACAUGUGGCAGAAGGGCACAAUCUUAGGAAUGAUCAAUUAAAUGCAGAAAACCAGCAUGGAAACAAUUGAAAUAAACCCCAAUCUCUGUCCAUUUGCAGCCCAAGAUCCUGGACUGGAUUCUGUGGUGGCACAUGAUGCAUUCCAGAGGGGGGAAGCUGUGCUGCAGUCACAGCACUGGGUGCCUUGAGCUGUCUCAGGGAAUGCUUCUGGCCUUAUUUAAUGUUAUUGAAAAAUUAGCAGAAAAAAUGAGCCUUUACUUCUAGGUUGGUUUGCAAACCCGUGGAUCUGCCUGGGUAAGGGACAAUGCAAACUCCAGACUUCUACCAGAGCCCUCUGAGGGUUUAGAGGUUGUGACAGGGUCUGGGCACAGACUGUCAGCUCUUCUAUACAACAGAAUCAUGUUGGAGCCACCUCUGUCAGUGGACUCUUGGCACAUGGGGUGACCCUUCAGGUGCUGCUGCGUGCACCUCGCUCACCUCAUGGCAUGUGAAAAGCAGUGAUGUUGUGUUGGUUUCUGCUUUUUGGAACCAAGCUGAAGCAGAACAUGAAAUUUUGCCGGCCUGAGGGGGAGAAAGGACCCAGGAUGAGCAGCCCUGGGAACAGCUAUCCUGCCACCACAGCAGUGGUGAGUCUGUGUGUCUGGGCAGUGGGGAGCAGGGAGCACAGUGCAUAGCAAAGUGCUGACGAAGGAUCUCCUUCCCUCCUCUUGCUCUUGCCAGCUCACAUCAAGCCAAAGACACCUUGUUCCUGCAGGGGCUUGGAUAACACACCAGCCUGGGCACCCCUCUGCCUUCCACCCUCUGCAUCCAGCCUCCUGGUCCGAGGCCAACAUCCCUAUCGUGUUACCAGCCCCAUUCCCCUCCUGCGCCGGCAGUCAUGAAGUUUAGGAGAGAGAAUGUUGGAAACUGUGAAGCUGGAGCUCUAAAUAAUUGUAAAUAUGAGCAAACCAGAGAUGUGGCUGCAGGGCAAGUAUUGCCUCUGUGUGCUGUGGUUGUGACCAAACUGGGAAGUUGAAGAGAAAACACAACUUUGCAGCAGAAAAUACAAGGGGAAAGUGCCCCCCUAUGCGGAUCCUGCCUGCAGAGCUGCUGUUGCACAGUUCCUGCCCCAGCACCCAGCACUGAUUCACACCUCAGGAGCCACAGCUGCACCUGUAGGUGCCACUGUGAUCCAGCUGGGCAUGAGCAGCCCUUUUGGGGGCAAGUCCUGCUGGUUCAGCUCCUUGUCUGCCAGGAGCUCCCCCAAACUCUACCUGGUGAACUCAUCUCAUCUCAUCUCAUCUCAUCUCAUCUCGGCUCAGGGGCCAUGGGGAGCCUGUGGAAAAGGGAACAUCCAGGGAACAGAGGAGCUGGUGUGGUACCAGGCUGGUACCUUGACCCAGAGGUCCCCUGAAAUGGUUUUUAGCCCUGAAGGUGCCCAGUUUGCUGGUGGUGGGGUCCUAUAAAGGCUGUCACAGCUGUGCUGGUGUCAAGUGCACCUAGGGGCAAUAGGAAAGGGGAGUCAGAUGUGAUGGGCUGAGCCUCCAGCUGAGGUCUUGUAGCACGUGUCCCUCUCUGCUUCCAGGCCAUGUACCAGGACUCAUCAUUCCCUGCUGACCCCUG